This 3035-nucleotide long non-coding RNA is filed under the name Salvia miltiorrhiza (redroot sage). RNAcentral's name for it is "long non-coding RNA (SMIL_LNC006203)". The record is from RNAcentral. Lineage: Eukaryota; Viridiplantae; Streptophyta; Magnoliopsida; Lamiales; Lamiaceae.
GCACAGGUUCUCCAUUUAAAUUUAUCUAUAUAUAAAUGUUUAUUAAUUCAUGAUUUAACCAACAUUGCGUAAGUGAAUAUAUAUCUAAUUAAUUUAACCAAAACUUUGGUCCGCUAUUAAAUAUGCACACGCCACUUUUUAAGUGGUGCAUAGCAGCCCACAUUUCAGCCCAUUUUACUUGUCAUAUUUCAUCAAAAGCCCAUUUAUUAAAUACAUGAACCCUGAAAUCUUAGGGUUACAAUAGUCGCAUUUGUAGAUCUUUAUGUUCUAGAAUUUUCUGCUCGUUCAUCUCCAAGCUCUUAUUCCUCACUCUCCACUGCAAAUACUCACAUUUAUUGUAAAAUUCUUACACCCUUCACUCUUAAACCAUUUUUUCUCUACACAUUCUAUUUAUUUGUGGCAUUAUUUUGGCAGAUUUAUGAAUAUUUGCACAAAAGUGUCUUCAAACAAAAAUAUCUUCAUUUUUUCGCAGAUUAAUUUUCAUUUUUUUGUGUUUAUGGCAUCAUUUUUGGUAGAUCUAUAAAUAUCUACACUAAGUGUUGCUUAAAACAAAAGAUCUUUAUUGUUCUUGGCAAAUUAGGUUUUCGUUUUUUUUUAUGUUUAUCGUAUUAUUUUGUUAGAUCUAUGAAUAUCUACACAAAUGGAUAUUUAAAAGAACUUGUUUUUUGUAUACUGUUUAUAUACUGAGUAAGAUCUUUAUUUCUUUUUGCAUAUUAGUUUUUCGUUCUAUUUUUUUUUUUUUUGUUCAUAGUAUCAUUUUAGUAGAUCUAUGAAUAUCUACUCAAAUAGGUUCUUUAAUGAACAAUUUUUUUUUUUUUUAUAUUUUUUAUUGAGGAAGGUCUUUAUUUCUUUUCGCAUAUUAGUUUUUCUAAUUUUAGUUUUUCAUUUUUUUGUGUUUGUAGUAUCAUUUUAGUAGAUCUAUGGAUAUCUACACAAAUGGGUUCUUAAAAGAACAAAAAAAAAUUGUUUGUAGAUUAUUAUUUUUUUAUACUGAGGAAAAUCGUUAUUUCUUUUCGCAUAAUAGUUUUUCGUUUUUUAGUUUUUCAUUUUUUUUUUGUGUUUAUAGUUUAUCAUUUUAGUAGAUCUACGAAUAUCUACACAACUGGAUUCUUAAAAAAACAUUUUUUUUUUGCAGAUUAGUUAUGGUUUAUUCUGAAGAUUUUUUUUUUGGUGUUUAUCUAACCAAAUUGGUACAUAAAAGAACGUUUUUUUGUAGGUGUUGCUGUCGGCACUGGAUGAACAUGGACGAAGCGGUGUAUUAUGUGGUGUAUCUGGCAAGCACUCAGAGCUUUUGUUCUUGAUAAAAAGGUAUCAUCACUAUCUAACAAUUUAGAUUGGACUUCUUCUGAUUUAUAAAAAGUCUAUACGAAAUAAAUAAAUAGCGUGGGAUUGAAAUAAUGAUUUGAAAUCAUUGUGUAUUUUGAAAUACUCUAUCUUUCUCUUAAAUAGCCAAUCUUUCUCUAAAACACACCAUUGGUUUCAUGUGUAUAUAAACUUUUAAUGGCCACAUCCUUAGGAUUGGUCAUGAAAAUGAUUUGAAGAUUGGAAAAAAUAGAAAGUAUAUUAGAUGAUAGUGUAACACUAAAGCUUUGAAAACCAUAUAAGUAUUGAUUUAUUUUUGUUUUCUCAUAUGUGAGCCUUUGUUUUCUUUAGAUUUUUCUGUUUUCUUCAUAAUUUUUUUGUUGCAUUUGUCAGAAAAAAAAGAGUGAAAAAAGUUUAUGUGUAUCUUUAAAAGAUGUUAAGAAGAUUUACUGUUGGUUGAGGAUUAUUAGGAUCCAGUUCUAAUAAGUUCCAAUCAAUGGUUAUUUUUUCAUUUUUGCAAUAAAUUUAAUAACUGCCAUUGUUCUAAUCACGUGUAUGUGUAUUUUUAAUAGCUGCCACUGUUUUGGCAGCUAGAUUGCUUGAUGUCUUUAAAAUCUCCGUAUUUUUGCUUGAUGUCUUUUGAAAUUGAUAAACUUGAGAAAAAGAACAAAAAAAACUCAUUCCUUUUUUCUAUUGUUCAUCAAAAAACAACUUUUUUGCAGCUAUGGUUGGCAACAGUUUAGCUAAUAUAUAAAAAAUUACACUGACACCGUUUUCUUUUGUGACUUCUGCAGAUCCUAGAGACGAUACUUACAUGCUCCAUUGACAGCAAGUCUUCAUCUGUGGAGAAAAUUCAUAAAUAUAAGCUAUGUAUAAAAUUGAAAUAAGUAUUGUAAUACUUGCUUAGUAUCUGAGUUCUAAUUAAAAUUAAUAGUAAAUAGGCACAUUAUAAACAAAUAAAAAUAAAAGUACCAAAUAAAAAUAUAAAAACUCUAAAAUUAAAAGAACAUCAAAACGAAUUAGAACAAUCUACUAAGAACAAUCAAGCAUAGAGAGAGAAAGUUUGCAAACCUUUUUUGAACGAAAAAAUGAACAGAUGUUGCUUGUAUUUAUAGGCAAAUUUUAGGAUGAAUUUUGGCUCCAUGCUUGGGGGCCAAGUUUAAUAAAUGCUGCCUAAAUUGUUUGGGGCCCAAGUUUUAAAAAAUGUCUGCUGAAUUUUGCAAGAUUACAUAGUAGGUAAAACAAAAAAGCAAAACAUGUUGGUUAAUAAGAUGAUUCAAUUUCCCGCCAAAAUGGCUCCAAAUGGCUCAGAUUGAGCUUUUAUAUAUAUAUAUAUAUGUUAGAAAAGAAAUUAGGCAUUUAAAGACAUAAAUUUUUGUUAUCCCUCAUUUUCCCAUGAUUAAUUUAUCCGUCAAAAUAAACACAUCAUUAGCGUUUAUUUUCGAAGCUUUUGCUCACACCAAGAAACAUGUAACUCUCGAGUCUUAUCAUUGUCGAUGGGAAGCCAGACUUAUGGCUCAUAGUCUUGCAAAUUUUACUAUUUUAUCUUAAAUUGUAGUAAUGCUUUAGAAGUCGGAGUUCUCAUCUUGAUUCUAAAUAUUGUUCAUGUUAACUUGAAGUAACAUAGUCAUUUUUUUAUUUGCUCAUGAAAAUCAAAAAUGAAAAAAAGCUAAAAGAAAAAAAAGAAAGAAAAUAAAAAUAAAUUAAAAAAAAAACUUGUUCAAAAAAAGGGG